This 301-nucleotide ribosomal RNA is filed under the name uncultured bacterium. Its description in RNAcentral is "partial 16S ribosomal RNA". It matches the Rfam family "Bacterial small subunit ribosomal RNA", at positions 509 to 809 of the family's 1533-position model. The record is from RNAcentral.
CAGCAGCCGCGGUAAUACGGAGGGUGCAAGCGUUAAUCGGAAUUACUGGGCGUAAAGCGCACGCAGGCGGUUUGUUAAGUCAGAUGUGAAAUCCCCGGGCUCAACCUGGGAAUGGCAAUGGAUACUGGCAAGCUAGAGUGUGUCAGAGGAUGGUGGAAUUCCCGGUGUAGCGGUGAAAUGCGUAGAGAUCGGGAGGAACAUCAGUGGCGAAGGCGGCCAUCUGGGACAACACUGACGCUGAGGCACGAAAGCGUGGGGAGCAAACAGGAUUAGAUACCCCGGUAGUCCCUGUCUCUUAUAA